RNAcentral lists this unclassified non-coding RNA (336 nucleotides) under soil metagenome. RNAcentral describes it as "partial contains 5.8S ribosomal RNA, internal transcribed spacer 2, and large subunit ribosomal RNA". The stretch from base 1 to 120 matches the Rfam family "5.8S ribosomal RNA", at positions 35 to 154 of the family's 154-position model. The record is from RNAcentral.
GAUGAAGAACGUAGCGAAAUGCGAUAAGUAAUGUGAAUUGCAGAAUUCAGUGAAUCAUCGAAUCUUUGAACGCACAUUGCGCCCGCCAGCAUUCUGGCGGGCAUGCCUGUUCGAGCGUCAUUUCAACCCUCAAGCUCUGCUUGGUGUUGGGGCCCUACGUCUGACGUAGGCCCUCAAAGACAGUGGCGGACCCUCUCGGAGCCUCCUUUGCGUAGUAACUAACGUCUCGCACCGGGAUUCGGAGGGACUCUUGCCGUAAAACCCCCAAUUUUUACAGGUUGACCUCGGAUCAGGUAGGAAUACCCGCUGAACUUAAGCAUAUCAAUAAGCGGAGGA